Molecule: RNA transcript, 606 nt
Organism: Fragaria vesca subsp. vesca
Lineage: Eukaryota; Viridiplantae; Streptophyta; Magnoliopsida; Rosales; Rosaceae
Exons: 2
Source: RefSeq, a predicted model, not a curated record
UACCUAUGUACAACACAAUGUAGACAAACCUCCCUAGCUUGUUUCUAUUAUUGUCCUCUGACUUGUUCCUCGUUAAUUCAAUGUUCUUCUUUUCCAGAAAACUAUCUGUGGCACUGCAUCACCAUACCCUUUCUCCCUGUACUUCCUCUGAAUCACCUCAUAAUCAGUCUCCCAUCCCCUUGGAACUUGAUUCCUUCCAUAUCCUCCAUAGCCUCCAUAGCCUCCAUAGCCAAAAGCCUGAUUGAAUCUUGUUAUUCCCAACCCCAACCCAAUUUUGUUCUUCCCAAUCUCCAACGAAAUCCUCUCAAAUAUCGAAUCCCUCUUAGAAAUGGAACCCAAAGAAUUUGGCGACGGCAAAUUGGUAUAUGAGAUCGUCGUUCACGUCAACUCAAAGCCUGAACAAGUCUCAAUACAAGCUUACCAGCUUUGAAAGAAUCAAAGCAAACCUCAAACGACGUCAUCUUCUGCUCAUCAUCUUCUAUUUGGAAACCAAGCCCUGUUUGUCGAUCUUCUAGAGCCUGAUGUGGCAAAAUGGGAAAAAAAGCCUGAAAAACCGGCAAGACCGGCCGGGUUUAUGCCAGUCCGGGCUUUUGCCGGUCUUAGAAA